GCGCCCGUAGCUCAAUGGAUAGAGCGUCUGGCUUCGGACCAGAAGGCUGGGGGUUCGAGUCCUCCCGGGCGCGCAA
The sequence is a transfer RNA, 76 nucleotides long. It matches the Rfam family "tRNA". From Rfam's summary of the family: Transfer RNA (tRNA) molecules are approximately 80 nucleotides in length.